GUGUUGUUGGGUAGGGGAGCGUUCUGUAAGCCUGCGAAGGUGGCCUGUGAGGGUUGCUGGAGGUAUCAGAAGUGCGAAUGCUGACAUAAGUAACGAUAAUGCGGGUGAAAAGCCCGCACGCCGGAAGACCAAGGGUUCCUGUCCAACGUUAAUCGGGGCAGGGUGAGUCGACCCCUAAGGCGAGGCCGAAAGGCGUAGUCGAUGGGAAACAGGUUAAUAUUCCUGUACUUGGUGUUACUGCGAAGGGGGGACGGAGAAGGCUAUGUUAGCCGGGCGACGGUUGUCCCGGUUUAAGCAUGUAGGCGGAGGUUCCAGGUAAAUCCGGUACCUUUUAACGCUGAGGUGUGAUGACGAGGCA
RNAcentral lists this ribosomal RNA (358 nucleotides) under Klebsiella aerogenes. RNAcentral's name for it is "partial 23S ribosomal RNA". It matches the Rfam family "Bacterial large subunit ribosomal RNA", at positions 1218 to 1576 of the family's 2925-position model. The record is from RNAcentral. Lineage: Bacteria; Pseudomonadati; Pseudomonadota; Gammaproteobacteria; Enterobacterales; Enterobacteriaceae.